RNAcentral lists this long non-coding RNA (870 nucleotides) under Coffea arabica (coffee). RNAcentral's name for it is "long non-coding RNA (CARA_LNC005584)". Lineage: Eukaryota; Viridiplantae; Streptophyta; Magnoliopsida; Gentianales; Rubiaceae. The record is from RNAcentral.
UCACGGAUAUACAAAUGAUGAAAUUAAAAGAAAAGAAAAGAAAAUUAAAUUAUAUACAUAGAUAUAAGUGAUCAAAGAAUAAGGAUGCAUCAUAAUGGGUACGGGAAACAAAAACUCAUGACAUAAUUUUCUUAUACAGGGAUUAAUGAGAUAUUUAAACUAAAGAAUUAUAAACACCUAUAUCCAUGUUCAAAGAAUAAUUCUCCUAAUAUGAACAAGCAAAUGAACUAACUUAAAUGAGAUGCAAUUCUAAAUGACAUGAUUAACACAUAUAGAGGGUAGGGGAUAGAGGAUAAUAUAAUAGAAGAUAUCAUGCAAAUGAGAAAAGAUUCUAAAAUAAAAAUAUACAUGAAAAUUUAAUGGAUAUCAUACAAAAGAUGAAUCUAAUGCGUGAACUAUCUAAGGGUCUAGCGUUAGACUAGCCCAUUCCUAAAGAACCUUACUAGCGUUGGACUAGCAAGUGGGCGGAGGGAGAAACCACAACUAGCGUUGGAUUAGUGUGGUGACGUCAUGCAUUUAUUAUAAUCAAAUAAAUCAUAUAUCAAACAUAAUAAAAGCAAGUAAACACAUAAAUCACCUAAAGAACAUAGCACAUAAGCAUGAUAUCUAGAUGCAAGACCCUAAGAAUGUUUUAAACACAUAAACACACGAGCAUGCAAACACAUAAACAAAUAAAAAACGAAUAAAGACCUAACUAUUACAUUUGGGACCCAACUACAAUCUAAAGGGGGAAGAAAUGAAAUAAAGUAAUAACCUAACUAUUACAAUUUGGCAUUUAAUUGCCUCCCAAAUAAUCAUCAAAAUUAAAUUAAAUAUAUGAAACUUAAAACGAAUAAAACCAAACAACUAAAAGAAAAUCACUCAAAACAU